Molecule: transfer RNA, 74 nt
Filed under: Pirellula staleyi DSM 6068
Lineage: Bacteria; Pseudomonadati; Planctomycetota; Planctomycetia; Pirellulales; Pirellulaceae
Description: tRNA-Arg (CCG) (tRNA-Arg-CCG-1-1)
Rfam family: tRNA
About the family: Transfer RNA (tRNA) molecules are approximately 80 nucleotides in length. Their secondary structure includes four short double-helical elements and three loops (D, anti-codon, and T loops).
Source: Rfam by way of RNAcentral
GUCCUCGUAGCUCAAUUGGAUAGAGCGUCGCCCUCCGAAGGCGAAGGUUGGUGGUUCGAUCCCACUCGAGGAUA